Molecule: ribosomal RNA, 253 nt
Filed under: uncultured bacterium
Lineage: Bacteria
Description: partial 16S ribosomal RNA
Rfam family: Bacterial small subunit ribosomal RNA
Source: RNAcentral
UACGUAGGGGGCAAGCGUUGUCCGGAAUCAUUGGGCGUAAGGAGCGUGUAGGCGGCCAGAUAAGUCCGCUGUGAAAUCUCGAGGCUCAACUUCGAGCUGUCGGUGGAAACUGUCUGGCUAGAGUCCGGAAGAGGAGAAUGGAAUUCCUGGUGUAGCGGUGAAAUGCGCAGAUAUCAGGAAGAACACCCGUGGCGAAGGCGGUUCUCUGGGACGGUACUGACGCUGAGACGCGAAAGCGUGGGGAGCGAACAGG